CCCCUAGAUGUUCUGGGCCGCACGCGCGCUACACUGAACAGUUCAACAAGUCUUAACCUUGGCCGAUAGGUCUGGGUAAUCUUUGAACGCUGUUCGUGAUUGGGAUAGACCUUUGCAAUUAUGGGUCUUCAACGAGGAAUUCCUAGUAAACGCAAGUCAUCAACUUGCAUUGAUUACGUCCCUGCCCUUUGUACACACCGCCCGUCGCACCUACCGAUUGAAUGGUCCGGUGAAGCCUCCGGAUUGGCGCGCACCCCGGUGCCGCCGAGAAGUUGGCUAAACCUUACCAUUUAGAGGAAGGUGAAGUCGUANCA
RNAcentral lists this ribosomal RNA (314 nucleotides) under uncultured eukaryote. RNAcentral's name for it is "partial 18S ribosomal RNA". It matches the Rfam family "Eukaryotic small subunit ribosomal RNA", at positions 1470 to 1796 of the family's 1831-position model. The record is from RNAcentral.